AGGAUAAUAGUUAAAUAUAACAGUUAAUUUGCAAUUAAAAAUUAUUGUUCAUCAAUUUAUCUUA
RNAcentral lists this transfer RNA (64 nucleotides) under Impressosora (Neoeutrapela) sp. EUT01. RNAcentral's name for it is "Eutrapela sp. EUT01 tRNA-Ala". It matches the Rfam family "tRNA". Rfam says of the family: Transfer RNA (tRNA) molecules are approximately 80 nucleotides in length. Their secondary structure includes four short double-helical elements and three loops (D, anti-codon, and T loops). The record is from RNAcentral. Lineage: Eukaryota; Metazoa; Arthropoda; Insecta; Coleoptera; Tenebrionidae.